CCUACGGGGAGCAGCAGUGGGGAAUAUUGGACAAUGGGGGGAACCCUGAUCCAGCGACGCCGCGUGAGUGAAGAAGGAGGGAGGGAGGGAAAGCUCUAUCAGCAGGGAAGAAAAUGACGGUACCUGACUAAGAAGCCCCGGCUAACUACGUGCCAGCAGCCGCGGUAAUACGUAGGGGGCAAGCGUUAUCCGGAUUUACUGGGUGGAAAGGGAGCGGAGACGGUGCAGCAAGUCUGAUGUGAAAGGUCGGGGCCCAACCCCGGGACUGCAUUGGAAACUGUUGAACUGGAGUACAGGAGAGGUAAGCGGAAUUCCUAGUGUAGCGGUGAAAUGCGUAGAUAUUAGGAGGAACACCAGGUGCGAAGGCGGCUUACUGGACUGUAACUGACGUUGAGGCUCGAAAGCGUGGGGAGCAAACAGGAUUAGAUACCCCAGUAGUC
Molecule: ribosomal RNA, 440 nt
Filed under: uncultured bacterium
Lineage: Bacteria
Description: partial 16S ribosomal RNA
Rfam family: Bacterial small subunit ribosomal RNA
Source: RNAcentral